This 1246-nucleotide ribosomal RNA is filed under the name Andregamasus sp. APGD-2010. RNAcentral describes it as "eukaryotic LSU rRNA". It matches the Rfam family "Eukaryotic large subunit ribosomal RNA", at positions 127 to 1244 of the family's 3401-position model. Lineage: Eukaryota; Metazoa; Arthropoda; Arachnida; Mesostigmata; Podocinidae. The record is from RNAcentral.
UUUUGUACAAUAAGAGAUGAGGUGUAAAGGUGUCUUGCGUUCAACAGUCGUACAGCUUAAUUAUUAUUGAGUGAGUGCUCAGAGAAGGUGAAAAGCCUGUGUGGUUGUGUCGAAUCUGUUGAAUCGAGUCACUGACGAGUCUAGUUGUUUGAGAGUGCAACUUAAAGUUGGUGGUAAAUUUCAUCAAAGGCUAAAUAUAUGAAGGGACUAAUAGCGAACAAGUACCAUGAGGGAAAGUUGAAAAGAACUCUGAUGAGAGAGUUCAACAGUACGUGAAACCAUAUUGAGUAAAACAGAUAACUGUGUUGUUAUGUGGUGUGUCUAUCAACAGCAAAUUUGCCAUUGCGUGUUCUAUGGGUGUGACCUGUUUAUUCAGUCGAUCGCCUUUAGUCGUGUACAGUCAAAAAUGCUGUGUACUAGUGCACACUCAAUCAUUGAGAAACUAUGCUGCUGCGACAUUGGUAUGCAUCAGUCCGUACAUAGUGCGAGGUUGCAUGCUGGGUUAGAGUUAGUAGCGUCGUUUAGCUGUGUGAGUUGCAUUUACCGAAUGUGCUGGCUUUGUCUGCAAGAAAGUUUAUUCUUUUUUGCGGUGAAUCCAGUGCCAUAGGUAAGCGACUCGACAUCAAUGGUUAACAUUAGUUAUUUGACCCGUCUUGAAACACGGAAAGGAGUUCAAAUGGCACGCGAGUCAUUGGGUUUAAACACCCGAAGGCGAAGUGAAAUGCAAACGUAUCGUAACUCGUCGUUUUUCGGCGAUUAAUCGAUAAGCUACUCAUGCUUUCUGGCAUUUGUAGACUACAAGCGUGAUGUUUGAGACCCGAAAGAUGGUGACCUAUGCCUAGUCAAGAUGAAGCCAGAGGAAACUCUGGUGGAUGUCUGAAGUUAUUCUGACGUGCAAAUCGAUAAUCUGAUCUGGGUAUAGGGGCGAAAGACUAAUCGAACCAUCUAGUAGCUGGUUCCUUCCGAAGUUUCCCUCAGGAUAGCAAGCGUACAUUUUGAUAGUUUCAUCCCGUAAAGCGAAUGAUUAGAGGUAUUGGGGCAUAUAUAGCCUCAACCUAUUCUCAAACUUUUAAUGGGUGUGAGUGUUUUUUCUUAAUUGAAAAACGCUACCAAAUAAGUAUGCUUAGUGGGCCAUUUUUGGUAAGCAGAACUGGCGCUGUGGGUUGAACCAAAUGUUGAGUUAAAGUGCCUAAAGCUGGAAUGCGCAUGAGAUCUAUAAAGGGUGUUAGUUGCUGAAGACAGCAGG